CAGAUUUUUUCAAGUAAACACUAUUUUCAUUUUGUGUGACACUAUUUAAGACUGUCAUAAAAAAAGAGCUGAGAGAGAGUUUUAGCCUUGUACUGAAGAAAAUUAAAUAUAUUAUUAGAUAUUCUCUAAUUAAAUCAUUUUACUCACAAGGGAAAUACAAGAUCUACUAUUAAGAAAUUUAUCAUAUUGCUGCAUUAAUAUACAAUUAUGGCCCGUUGAAAAGGUGAAUAUCGAAAAUUGUCAACACAAAAAGGUUGUUUUACUU
Mytilus californianus (California mussel) is the source of this 265-nucleotide long non-coding RNA. RefSeq lists it as uncharacterized. The transcript is spliced from 2 exons. The record is from RefSeq and is a predicted model, not a curated record. Lineage: Eukaryota; Metazoa; Mollusca; Bivalvia; Mytilida; Mytilidae.